Molecule: ribosomal RNA, 933 nt
Filed under: uncultured bacterium
Lineage: Bacteria
Description: bacterial SSU rRNA
Rfam family: Bacterial small subunit ribosomal RNA
Source: RNAcentral
CAUGCAAGUCGAGGGGCAGCAUUUUAGUUUGCUUGCAAACUGAAGAUGGCGACCGGCGCACGGGUGAGUAACACGUAUCCAACCUGCCGAUAACUCCGGAAUAGCCUUUCGAAAGAAAGAUUAAUACCGGAUAGCAUACGAAUAUCGCAUGAUAUUUUUAUUAAAGAAUUUCGGUUAUCGAUGGGGAUGCGUUCCAUUAGUUUGUUGGCGGGGUAACGGCCCACCAAGACUACGAUGGAUAGGGGUUCUGAGAGGAAGGUCCCCCACAUUGGAACUGAGACACGGUCCAAACUCCUACGGGAGGCAGCAGUGAGGAAUAUUGGUCAAUGGGCGAGAGCCUGAACCAGCCAAGUAGCGUGAAGGAUGAAGGCUCUAUGGGUCGUAAACUUCUUUUAUAUGGGAAUAAAGUUUUCCACGUGUGGAAUUUUGUAUGUACCAUAUGAAUAAGGAUCGGCUAACUCCGUGCCAGCAGCCGCGGUAAUACGGAGGAUCCGAGCGUUAUCCGGAUUUAUUGGGUUUAAAGGGAGCGUAGGUGGAUUGUUAAGUCAGUUGUGAAAGUUUGCGGCUCAACCGUAAAAUUGCAGUUGAAACUGGCAGUCUUGAGUACAGUAGAGGUGGGCGGAAUUCGUGGUGUAGCGGUGAAAUGCUUAGAUAUCACGAAGAACUCCGAUUGCGAAGGCAGCUCACUAGACUGUUACUGACACUGAUGCUCGAAAGUGUGGGUAUCAAACAGGAUUAGAUACCCUGGUAGUCCACACAGUAAACGAUGAAUACUCGCUGUUUGCGAUAUACAGUAAGCGGCCAAGCGAAAGCAUUAAGUAUUCCACCUGGGGAGUACGCCGGCAACGGUGAAACUCAAAGGAAUUGACGGGGGCCCGCACAAGCGGAGGAACAUGUGGUUUAAUUCGAUGAUACGCGAGGAACCUUACCCGG